Arachis ipaensis is the source of this 303-nucleotide non-coding RNA. The record is from RefSeq and is a predicted model, not a curated record. Lineage: Eukaryota; Viridiplantae; Streptophyta; Magnoliopsida; Fabales; Fabaceae.
GAUUGAUUGAGAAAAAUAGAUUCCCUCCAUACAGACUGAACCAGGUAUGGUUAAAAGCAAGCCUGCAGGACUAGUGUUUUGACUAUAGAGAGUUGUGGUUGGUUGUUGACCAACAGAAAGCAUGGGAAAAAGACCAAAGAUGAAGGACUCCAUUUUUAUGCUUCUUCUUCAGCUUUACUAGUUAGUGGAGGCAAAGGAUUACCGGCUUCGCGAGACCUUUUCGAUCUACUCAUGGCGUAGCUCUAUACGGGUCCUUGCUUUCUCGAUCAACUAACUUCGUGCUGAAGAAAGACGGGUCCUCGA